This is an RNA transcript of Labeo rohita (rohu), 1074 nucleotides long. It is a transcript of the gene named glutaredoxin and cysteine rich domain containing 1 b, with no coding region annotated. NCBI's taxonomy places the organism in Eukaryota, Metazoa, Chordata, Actinopteri, Cypriniformes, Cyprinidae. The transcript has 2 exons. The record is from RefSeq and is a predicted model, not a curated record.
GUUUAUAUUGUCAUAUCAGUAUCUAAUGUAGACCUGUUUAUAUUUCAGGAUAACUCCUUGUAUAGGUCAAUGUUUCAAAACAGCGUCAAAAUGGGGAAUAAAACUAUUUCACACUUUAGGUGCUUUUGUUAUUAGUUACACACAAUAUGUUCUUUAAGCCACACGUGAGGUAUCUUUUAUUCAUAAGAGAACACAAGUCGGUUUCCACGGUUUCCAUGGAUAGCGUUUAUUAAAUAUUAAAGCACAUGGUGUCGAAUUGACACGUUCGUGCCACAAGCCCUUUAUCUGAAGAUCAGGCAAGACCUUUAAUGUCAGGGCAAUGCACUUUACCUGUGGCACAGUCUAAUUUCAGUCAAACAAAAGCUGUAUGAUGUAGAUUUUCUGAGUGCAAAAUGGAGCGACGCACAUCCACGGCUGAGGAGGACCGAGCCGAGAGGAGAGUGAGGUUCCGCGUGGCGUCCGCGCACAGCGGCCGCGUUCUGAAGGAGGUGUUCAGGGAGCAGGUGCUCGAAGACUGCGCGGACACGGACACCACUGUGAGCUCAGAGCCGGAGCGUGCGACCUCGCCUGUCAUCACGGAGGCAAACAGCCAUCUGAGCGGCCUGGUGGGGCAAGAACCGGACGACAGCGGCAGCGAACCGGACGAGCUGCUCAUGUACGCUAGUGCAACCAAGGACAAGAUUUUCACUGGUAAACGCGUGAACAUCUUCAGUAAGAACGGAACUAUUCGGGGCGUGAGAGACAAAGUGAGCGCGGGACAGGUGUUGUUUAACAACCUGUCCAAAAUGUAUGGGGUAAGUUUUAUUUGGAGCAAUAUAAUUACAUUUAUUAGUGUAGGCUAUAAUACAGCUGUGAAAAGAUUUUUCUGUAGGUCUAAGAGAAGAAAAGGAGAUUGCAAUAGCUGGAAAAAGGAACCCAAUCACCCUUGUUAAACCAUUCAGGAUUAAUGACCGACUAAUUGCUGUAAGAAAGACGCUAUGUUUACAAAAGACCAGGAUUCGCUUAUUAUGAACCGCCCUAAAAGACCAUGAGAUUUUGUCUGAAAACAGCUUUGGAUGUCGUGCAGCAGAGGAU